UUUUUUUUUUUUUUUUGCCUUCCAGCAUGUUCUCUGGGUCAUUCUGUAUGUGGCUAGGUAGCUGGUCCUCCAGGGUUAGGAAACUGGGGGUGGGAGGGCUGGUGGUGAUGGCAGGGGUCUGAAAUUAAAGUAGGGUAUGACAAGUAUGUAAGGUUAGGGACAUAGAGCAGAAAAAGCAGAGUGACCCCCCCCCCCCACCCCGACCAGGGGUUAUCCCACUACUGCCCUAGACUGUCCCAAGGCAAAAAGUCCCUGCUAGGAGAAAAAGUCCUGGUUAUCAGUCAAAGUUGGUGUUUUUGUGACUGUUUCUGAGCCUCAGUUUACCUGUCUGUAAAUCGGCCUAAUCAGACCAGAGCCUUUCUGUAAUCAGACACAGUCCUUGUUUAACCAGAGAAGGGCACGCAGAGGUCCAUAACUGGACACUGUGGACCUCCACUAGCUUUCUGGUAGGUCACCCUAUUGCUCCUUAGAAACUGUCAGGUAGUCAGCGGACAGAGCCCAGAAUGGGUACUUAGGUCCAGGAUAGACAGCUGUCUGGAGCUGCCUUCCACUGUCUGAACCCAGCCCUGCCUAUGGAUGUGACCUCAGCCUCUGCCUGCAGCCCUCGGGGUCAUCCUUUCUCCAUCCUUAAGAUGAGGAGUACAAAUUUGUAGUCAUCUGAGACCUCUGGAAUUUGAGUCUGUAAGUGCUGGGUCUUUGGCACACCAGGCGCCUUGGCAGCCUUGUUUCUAUUGCUAUUGUCCCUCUGCUUUGGAGGUGAGGGGGCUGGAGAUUCCAGAGGGUCAGAGUGUCCAGCUGGUGCAGCCCUGGGUGAGGGCUGCUGAUUGUAGGUUCCUGAGUGACAAGUGUGGUCAGGGGGUCUCAGAGCUCAGCUAGUUCAUCACUGACAGCUUUUAGAAAUCACAGGUCUUCGUGGAAGCCGUUGCUGCCCCUUGUGCUAUGGCAAAGGUAUUACUUAUUACAGGGAAUUAUUCAAACAUCCCAUAGGCCAGGCUGGAAAACCCUUUUUGGGCCAGAGAGCAUCCCUUGUGUAAAAAAACUAGACCCAUAUUUUCCCUGCCAGGAGGAUGUGUCCCAGGGGUGCUAUCCAGAAGGGGUCAUUGUGCACCCAUUGGUCAAGAGGCAUCCUGACCCACUCAGGGAAGAAUUUCUAGUUGAAGCCACCAAGGUAGCAACUUGUAAAAACAGUGAGUGGUACCCACUCACCGCCACCCCCUUGUGUACUCUUCCCUGGGCCUCAGCAUGGUAAUCAGGAACGCACAGACCUUUUCUGUCAGUCUGUGCCCGUCAUUACCGUGGUGGACCGCAGCUUUUGUUUUGUGACCUUGGUUGCUACAAUACCUACGAGCUGAAAUGAGGAAUCAAAAAAUUGCCAGCUUCAAUUAGACUGGCAGACUGUGUUCUUAAGGCUGCUUCAGCCUUUCUAUCCAUUAAGGGUAAACAUGUACCAAAUAGGUCCUAAUUCUCUCUAAUUGCCUACUCCUGAAGCAAAGAGGUGAAAUUCCAGGAAGAGGCAUAUAUAAACAUCCUCUGAAACCCGACCAACGAAAAUUAGAGGGCUGAUGGGGGCCCGGUGCAUAGAAGGGGACAUGGUUUCAAAAGAUGUCCCAAUUACCGCUCCCAUUUUCAUAAAUGGGCCCGUAAUGUCCAGGGCCUGGGUCUCAACAAAGGUACAGGAAAUGAGCUCUGCAAAGAGCUUCCAUUUGUCAGGGGAACUUGCAAGAGGGUAGUAUUUUCUCAACAGGUAGGAAGUGGGAAAGGCUGAUCAUUUGCGUAACUGCAGACUCGAUUUCUUGAAAUCAACAUUUUAGUAAAAAUAGUCCUUUGACGUUUUUUUCCUCUGUUGGAAACAUCAGUGAGAUAUUUGUACCCAAAACAAGAUCAGUUAGGUCCUGUGUGCCUCCGGAAGAGAGAAACUUUUAAAAAGAUUAUCUCAGGAUGCAGAGUUAGAUGUUCUUAUCCUGGUGAGCUGUGGGGGCUGCAUUGACUACGCCCACCCUUGUUUUGUAUUCGUAGCAUGAGCUCAGGACAUGGAUUUACAAGGUCUUCCAUCAAACGUUUGUGACAGUGGUUCCUGCGGACUCUAUAAAAUCUUGUUUUUUCCUUUGGCUGCAGUGAGUCAUCUCUGCAGCUUUUCUGACAUUUGUUAAGAUUCCAACCCCGCACUGCGUUAUUAAUACAUCACGCAGAUCUGGAGCUGGUACAUGCAGCUUUUAAACCAAGGCACGACUUUGCCAGGGUUACGUGCUAGCGUAGCAGCCUGGGGUCUGCAUGCCGAGUUCAUUAAGGACAGUCAGGCGCGCCUAGGGUCCACAGGGGCCUGGAGGAGAGGCAGGAAAAAACCCAGAUGCCCUGGGCUGCUUCUGAUUACCUCCCUGCCAUUAAAAACAAAAUAGGGGAAAACAGGAGUGGACGAGUGAAAGCCCCCAGCUCAGGUUCCUGCAAAGAAACAGCAGCGUCUUUGGUCUUGCUGUGUGUUCUUGGUCUGGAGUCACCCAGAGACCAUGGUUGUGAUGAGUGGCCACCAUAGCCUUCAGGGGUCAUGGGGAGAGGGGUAUUCACUAUGCAGUUAGGUAGUUCUGAGCUAUAAGAUGACCGAGUGCUUGGGUCACCCACAUCUUCUGGUUGUCCUGUGAACACUUAUUUUUAAGAUACAGAAUCAAGCAGUUGGGUUUGGGAACACAGGCCAGAGAAGGGAUUUGCAGGAGGCUUGGAAAUAAGAGGUGUGUCCUAACUGUGACCUGGAAGGGUUUGGGGGUACCUCAGUCAGAGAGCUACCUGGCAAUGGAGGGUAUAGGUGGAGAAACCUGUCUGUAGAGGAUGAAGUAAGGAUAGGGUAGAGAGUCUCUGGAGAGCCAGCAGGGCAGGUAUCUGGCAGCCUGCGCUAGGUGUUUUUCAGGUCCCGUGGUUCUGUGCAUCCCAGUCUAUAACAUCCUAGAGCCCAUCACACUAAAGUCCCCCUCAUUGUCUAUCUCUCAGGAGUGUCCCCAGCCUCCCAUUAAUUCCUCUGGGUCUCCUGUUUCCCUGCAUGUCACUUAAAGGGGUUUAUUCUCCUGCUCCCAUCCUGACCCUCACUUCCAGACACAGCAGACUCUCCUCUUUGCCACCUAGUUUGACCAUAACCAGAUGCUAAUAACACAUUUUAAAAAUCAACUCAUUUAAAACAUGUUUUUGAACAGUCAUUUUAUUUUAUUUUCUUCUCAAGCAGUUUGAGUUUGUAGAACAAUCAGGGCAGUGACUAUGGGGGUUGGGGAUGUAGCUCCAUGCUUGCCUAGCAGGUAAGAAGCCUUAGGGUCCAGUCCCCAGCACCAAAAUCAAACUCAUAGGCAGUGGUGCAUGUAUGCCUGUCAUCACAGCACUUGGGAGGUAAGGCAAGAGGGCCAGAAGCUCAGCUUUAGUCUCUAUGACAUAGCAGAUUUGAGGCCAGUCCGGGCUACAGAAGAGCCUAUUUCAAAAGU
Molecule: long non-coding RNA, 3458 nt
Filed under: Mus musculus (house mouse)
Lineage: Eukaryota; Metazoa; Chordata; Mammalia; Rodentia; Muridae
Description: long non-coding RNA chr12:109553886-109557344
Source: RNAcentral